Molecule: unclassified non-coding RNA, 240 nt
Filed under: soil metagenome
Description: partial contains 5.8S ribosomal RNA, internal transcribed spacer 2, and large subunit ribosomal RNA
Source: RNAcentral
AACCAUAGAAACCUGCGGAGUACCUGCGGAGGGAUCAUUACCGAGUGAGGGUCCUCGUGGCCCAACCUCCCACCCGUGACUACUGUACCACUGUUGCUUCGGCGGGCCCGCCAGCGUCCGCUGGCCGCCGGGGGGCUUCUGCCCCCGGGCCCGUGCCCGCCGGAGACCCCAACACGAACACUGUUUCUGAAAGCCUGUAUGAAUCCGAUUCUUUGUAAUCAGUUAAAACUUUCAACAAUG